AUGGGGGACACAGGCUGCCUGGGGGGCCAGGGCACCGGCCAGGGCAGGGACGAGGGAGGCAUGGGCAGGAGCGCCCACGCCAACAUUGCUGGACGCACCGGACGUGGCAACUGGGCCUUCAAGGAACAUGAUGGCCAUGGGCUGGGCUGGACUGAGCUACUGCAGGACCAAGGCCGACAUGGACAGACAGGCCUAAGGACCGUGCGCAGGGGCCACCGUUGCCCGGUUCCUCUGACUGGCAACAGCGUGUUCCAGAACACUCCUGCUCCUGUGGAUCCCAGACCAGAGAAGCCCGGACAAACUGCAGCACACACAGCAGUGCUGGACCAGAAAGCCAAGGAGGCCGCGGGCCUGGCCCCCGGGGGCUGUUUUCGGGCAGAAGCUGACCGAUACCCGUGGUGGCUGCUCGCCUCCACGUCAUGUCUGGCCUGUGGUCUGGCUGUGGUGGAGCCAGGUGUGUGCGGCCUGGCCGUCUCCAUCCAGGCCCCCCUCGUCUUCCCCUUGGCCACCUGCUGCAAAGGCACCAUCGCCACUGCCCCGUCCGUGACACUGGGCUGCCUGGUCACGGGCUACUUCCCGAUGCCGGUGACUGUGACCUGGGAUGCAGGGUCCCUGAACAAGAGCGUCGUGACCCUCCCCGCCACCCUCCAGGAGACCUCUGGCCUCUACACCACCACCAGCCACGUGACCGUCUCGGGCGAGUGGGCCAAACAGAAGUUCACCUGCAGUGUGGCUCACGCGGAGUCCCCCACCAUCAACAAGACCGUCAGUGCGUGUGCCAUGAACUUCAUUCCCCCCACCAUGAAGCUCUUCCACUCCUCGUGUAACCCCCUCGGUGACACCAGUAGCACCAUCCAGCUCCUGUGCCUCAUCUCCGGCUACGUCCCAGGUGACAUGGAGGUCACCUGGCUGGUGGAUGGGCAGAAGGCCACGAACAUAUUCCCAUACACUGCCCCCAGCAAGCAGGAGGGCAAGGUGACCUCCACCCACAGCGAGCUCAACAUCACGCAGGGUGAGUGGGUGUCCCAAAAGACCUACACUUGCCAGGUCACCUAUCAAGGCUUCACCUUUGAGGACAACGCUCGCAAGUGCACAGAGUCUGACCCCCGAGGUGUGAGCACCUACCUGAGCCCGCCCAGCCCUCUUGACCUGUACGUCCACAAGUCGCCCAAGAUCACCUGCCUGGUGGUGGACCUGGCCAACACAGAAGGCAUGAUCCUGACCUGGUCGCGGGAGAAUGGGGAGUCUGUGCACCCAGACCCGAUGGUCAAGAAGACUCAGUACAACGGGACAAUCACCGUCACUUCCACCCUGCCUGUGGAUGCCACUGACUGGGUUGAGGGGGAGACCUACCAAUGCAAGGUGACCCAUCCGGACCUGCCCAAGGACAUCGUGCGCUCCAUUGCCAAAGCCCCCGGCCGGCGUUUCCCCCCGGAGGUGUACGUGUUCCUGCCGCCCGAGGGGGAGCCGAAGACCAAGGACAAAGUCACUCUCACGUGCCUGAUCCAGAACUUCUUUCCCCCGGACAUCUCGGUGCAAUGGCUUCACAACGACAGCCCUGUUCGGACGGAACAGCAGGCCACCACGUGGCCCCACAAGGCCACUGGCCCCAGCCCAGCCUUCUUUGUCUUCAGUCGCCUUGAGGUCAGCCGGGCAGACUGGGAGCAGAGGGAUGUGUUCACCUGCCAAGUGGUGCACGAGGCGCUGCCUGGCUCUAGGACGCUCAAGAAAUCCGUGUCCAAAAACCCUGGUAAAUGAUGCCCACCCCUCCCCCCAGAGCUCCAUCCUGCUGGGGCGGGGGAGGGGCCGGCCGGACCUGCCGGUCUGUUGUUGUCAAUAAACACUGCAGUGCCUGCCUCAGA
Molecule: non-coding RNA, 1862 nt
Organism: Puma concolor (puma)
Lineage: Eukaryota; Metazoa; Chordata; Mammalia; Carnivora; Felidae
Source: the annotation of a RefSeq genome assembly